GAUGAACGCUGGCGGCGUGCCUAAUACAUGCCAGUCGAGCGAACAGACGAGGAGCUUGCUCCUCUGACGUUAGCGGCGGACGGGUGAGUAACACGUGGAUAACCUACCUAUAAGACUGGGAUAACUUCGGGAAACCGGAGCUAUUACCGGAUAAUAUAUUGAACCGCAUGGUUCAAUAGUGAAAGACGGUUUUGCUGUCACUUAUAGAUGGAUCCGCGCCGCAUUAGCUAGUUGGUAAGGUAACGGCUUACCAAGGCAACGAUGCGUAGCCGACCUGAGAGGGUGAUCGGCCACACUGGAACUGAGACACGGUCCAGACUCCUACGGGAGGCAGCAGUAGGGAAUCUUCCGCAAUGGGCGAAAGCCUGACGGAGCAACGCCGCGUGAGUGAUGAAGGUCUUCGGAUCGUAAAACUCUGUUAUUAGGGAAGAACAAAUGUGUAAGUAACUAUGCACGUCUUGACGGUACCUAAUCAGAAAGCCACGGCUAACUACGUG
This 497-nucleotide ribosomal RNA is filed under the name uncultured bacterium. RNAcentral's name for it is "partial 16S ribosomal RNA". It matches the Rfam family "Bacterial small subunit ribosomal RNA", at positions 28 to 507 of the family's 1533-position model. The record is from RNAcentral.